RNAcentral lists this ribosomal RNA (497 nucleotides) under uncultured bacterium. RNAcentral's name for it is "partial 16S ribosomal RNA". It matches the Rfam family "Bacterial small subunit ribosomal RNA", at positions 28 to 507 of the family's 1533-position model. The record is from RNAcentral.
GACGAACGCUGGCGGCGUGCCUAAUACAUGCAAGUUGAGCGAUGAAGCUUGGUGCUUGCACCCAUUUGAAGAGCAGCGAACGGGUGAGUAACGCGUGGGGAAUCUGCCUUUGAGCGGGGGACAACAUUUGGAAACGAAUGCUAAUACCGCAUAACAACUUUAAACAUAAGUUUUAAGUUUGAAAGAUGCAAUUGCAUCACUCAAAGAUGAUCCCGCGUUGUAUUAGCUAGUUGGUGAGGUAAAGGCUCACCAAGGCGAUGAUACAUAGCCGACCUGAGAGGGUGAUCGGACACAUUGGGACUGAGACACGGCCCAAACUCCUACGGGAGGCAGCAGUAGGGAAUCUUCGGCAAUGGACGAAAGUCUGACCGAGCAACGCCGCGUGAGUGAAGAAGGGUUUCGGAUCGUAAAACUCUGUUGGUAGAGAAGAACGUUGGUGAGAGUGGAAAGCUCAUCAAGUGACGGUAACUACCCAGAAAGGGACGGCUAACUACGUG